This 462-nucleotide ribosomal RNA is filed under the name uncultured bacterium. RNAcentral's name for it is "partial 16S ribosomal RNA". It matches the Rfam family "Bacterial small subunit ribosomal RNA", at positions 28 to 507 of the family's 1533-position model. The record is from RNAcentral.
GAUGAACGCUGACAGAAUGCUUAACACAUGCAAGUCUUUGGCGAAGCUGUGCUUGCACAGCCUAGCCAAGGCGGACGGGUGAGUAACGCGUAAGGAACUUGCCCUGCAGUCAGGGAUAACAGACGGAAACGACUGAUAAGACCUGGUAAAGUCAGGCGGACUCAUGUCCAGCCUGAUGAAAAGAGAUGCUGCAGGAGAGCCUUGCGUCCUAUUAGCUUGUUGGUGGGGUAACGGCCCACCAAGGCGAUGAUAGGUAGCCGGCCUGAGAGGGUGGACGGCCACAAGGGGACUGAGAUACGGACCUUACUCCUACGGGAGGCAGCAGUGGGGAAUAUUGGACAAUGGGGGCAAUCCUGAGCCAGCAAUUCUGUGUGCACGAUGAAGGUUUUCGGAUUGUAAAGUGCUUUCAGCAGGGAAGAAAAAAUGACGGUACCUGCAGAAGAAGCGACGGCUAAAUACGUG